CCGCGCACGCCGGGCCGCGGGGGACGCGCGGCCAGCAGCAGGUCAGCGGCCGAGGCCGCCGAGGGACCGGCGCGCGGGCGGCCGCUGGAGCGCGCGGCCCCGCGAGGCACGGCCCCGCCGGCAGAGGCUCCAACGGCCGCCCGCGCGCGGGCCGCGCGGCACCUCCUGAGGUGGCUGCCAGGGGUGUGACAGAGAAGCAGGCAGGGCAGGAGAGAGGGGAGCUUGCCAGUGGAACACAUGACAGCCAGAUCUGCUCCAGGUAAGUGAGGGGGACACGUGCAGGGGACAGGGAGAAGGGUCUCUGCCAGGCUAGUAAAGAGAUGCAGCCUGGGCUCAUGGGAGGGCUGAACUUUCACACUGUGAUUGCUUUCCCCCAGCACAGUCCUCUGCUCCCAGGGACACUGCUCUAGAAUAUGCUACUCAGAUUUUCCAGGAGCUUUUGUAAUUCUUCCAAAGGAACAGAAGUCCACAGUGAAAUCUUGUUGUGAAUGAGGGCUUUGUUCUGCCAGGCUGCUUCUGGAAACACCUGGCUCUUUGUUAACCGCUGCACAAAAGGCCGAAACACGAAUUUGUUCUUGUGCUUUUGUUUUCAGAGCCUCCACUCCUCCAGCCUCUCCUUUCUCUUCCUCCAAGACAUGCAGGAAGCUGCACAAGUCCUCCUGGCAGCUUGGAGUGUCUGAAAUUGGCUGGAACUGCCCUGCAGCCUGCGAGGAUGGUGCUUCCCUAGCCUGAAAGUGAGGGUUUGUAUUACAUGCUUGGUGGUGCUUGAGGUGCACAGCCAGCCUGACCAGUUCAGAAGAGCAGGAAGGUUAAAGUCCAACGAGGAGCGAGCCUGGGAGCGGUGCUCGGUGCACACUCUCCCUCCGGGGCUGUUGCUUUGAAAGAGGGCAAGGUGGGACAGGGGAAGGUAACAGAGGUAUGGGGAGCAGCAGCCAGAGCCUGAGCUUGCUCCCCAGCCUGCAGCAGGAAGGAU
Long non-coding RNA from Dryobates pubescens (Downy woodpecker), 973 nucleotides. RefSeq lists it as uncharacterized. Lineage: Eukaryota; Metazoa; Chordata; Aves; Piciformes; Picidae. The record is from RefSeq and is a predicted model, not a curated record. The transcript has 3 exons.